RNAcentral lists this long non-coding RNA (823 nucleotides) under Populus trichocarpa (black cottonwood). RNAcentral's name for it is "long non-coding RNA (PTRI_LNC000970)". The record is from RNAcentral. Lineage: Eukaryota; Viridiplantae; Streptophyta; Magnoliopsida; Malpighiales; Salicaceae.
GCAAUGUAAAAUUUUUAUUGAUCUCAUUAUGCCGAUUUCAUCGCUUGCAAAACACGAAGGUUCUCUCCCUACCUUCCUCUCUCUCACCCCAAUACUGCAAUCCGAAAACACGCUUACCUCUAAAUCCACAAAUUAUCAUCGAUUUUUUUAAGUCUUAAGAUCGGUUCUAAUUGAUUAAAAAAAAAAACCCAGGGCUUCCGAUCGACUAUUUAACAGGAUUCGAACAAAAAGAAAAAUAAUUAAAAUCAAUACAAAUCCCAAUAACAAGAAAAGAAAUUAUAAUAGUAAUAGUAAUUUAUAGAAAUUCUGAUAAUUUCUUGUGCAUAGAUGGCACUGCAAGAACAAUAAGAUAGGCUCAAGAGGCAGCAGCAAGCGAAGUGCAAGUCAACGCUUACAAGUGUAGCGAAAUCAAGGCCCAACGUGACUCAAAAAGCGUUUCCGGUAGCUGCAUCGCCAUCAACGAGUGCUAGGACUCCUGCUCCUGCUGUCAGAUUUUCUAAUGACACGGAGAGGCUUCAGCAUAUCAAUAGUAUUAGAAAAGCCCCCGCCGGAGCUCAAAACAAGCGUGUGGGAGACCUGCUUCUAGAGGUAACAAUUGAAUUCUUAAUCACUGUUGUUUUGAUUCCUUUCUGAAUUGUGAUGGAUACUGGGUUGGUCGCAUAGUAAAAAUAACUUGAUAAAAGGAUUAGGUGAAUUGAAGUUAAUGUGUUAUCCAAGAUGAUGAAUGAUGUUGGAGAUACAGUUGAUGGUCUUCAGUCUUUGUUCUGUCUCCCUUUGAGUGGAUUGUGUAUGGAAGUGUAAUGCAGAAAAAAGUUAAUAAGAG